This 582-nucleotide ribosomal RNA is filed under the name uncultured bacterium. RNAcentral describes it as "bacterial SSU rRNA". It matches the Rfam family "Bacterial small subunit ribosomal RNA", at positions 816 to 1398 of the family's 1533-position model. The record is from RNAcentral.
CUUGGAGGUUGUGCCCUUGAGGCGUGGCUUCCGGAGCUAACGCGUUAAGUCGACCGCCUGGGGAGUACGGCCGCAAGGUUAAAACUCAAAUGAAUUGACGGGGGCCCGCACAAGCGGUGGAGCAUGUGGUUUAAUUCGAUGCAACGCGAAGAACCUUACCUGGUCUUGACAUCCACAGAACUUUCCAGAGAUGGAUUGGUGCCUUCGGGAACUGUGAGACAGGUGCUGCAUGGCUGUCGUCAGCUCGUGUUGUGAAAUGUUGGGUUAAGUCCCGCAACGAGCGCAACCCUUAUCCUUUGUUGCCAGCGGUCCGGCCGGGAACUCAAAGGAGACUGCCAGUGAUAAACUGGAGGAAGGUGGGGAUGACGUCAAGUCAUCAUGGCCCUUACGACCAGGGCUACACACGUGCUACAAUGGCGCAUACAAAGAGAAGCGACCUCGCGAGAGCAAGCGGACCUCAUAAAGUGCGUCGUAGUCCGGAUUGGAGUCUGCAACUCGACUCCAUGAAGUCGGAAUCGCUAGUAAUCGUGGAUCAGAAUGCCACGGUGAAUACGUUCCCGGGCCUUGUACACACCGCCCGUC